RNAcentral lists this unclassified non-coding RNA (305 nucleotides) under plant metagenome. RNAcentral's name for it is "partial contains 5.8S ribosomal RNA, internal transcribed spacer 2, and large subunit ribosomal RNA". The stretch from base 1 to 105 matches the Rfam family "5.8S ribosomal RNA", at positions 50 to 154 of the family's 154-position model. The record is from RNAcentral.
GAAAUGCGAUAAGUAAUGUGAAUUGCAGAAUUCAGUGAAUCAUCGAAUCUUUGAACGCACAUUGCGCCCGCCAGUAUUCUGGCGGGCAUGCCUGUUCGAGCGUCAUUUCAACCAUCAAGCCCCCGGCUUGUGUUGGGGACCUGCGGCUGCCCGCAGGCCCUGAAAAACAGUGGCGGGCUCGCUGUCACACCGAGCGUAGUAGCAUACAUUCUCGCUCAGGGCGUGCUGCGGGUUCCGGCCGUUAAACGACCUUCAUAACCCAAGGUUGACCUCGGAUCGGGUAGGAAGACCCGCUGAACUUAAGC